AUGAACGCUGGCGGCGUGCCUAAUACAUGCAGGUCGCGCGAACGGACGAGAAGCUUGCUUCUCUGAUGUUAGCGGCGGACGGGUGAGUAACACGUGGAUAACCUACCUAUAAGACUGGGAUAACUUCGGGAAACCGGAGCUAAUACCGGAUAAUAUUUUGAACCGCAUGGUUCAAAAGUGAAAGACGGUCUUGCUGUCACUUAUAGAUGGAUCCGCGCUGCAUUAGCUAGUUGGUAAGGUAACGGCUUACCAAGGCAACGAUGCAUAGCCGACCUGAGAGGGUGAUCGGCCACACUGGAACUGAGACACGGUCCAGACUCCUACGGGAGGCAGCAGUAGGGAAUCUUCCGCAAUGGGCGAAAGCCUGACGGAGCAACGCCGCGUGAGUGAUGAAGGUCUUCGGAUCGUAAAACUCUGUUAUUAGGGAAGAACAUAUGUGUAAGUAACUGUGCACAUCUUGACGGUACCUAAUCAGAAAGUCACGGCUAACUACGUG
This 496-nucleotide ribosomal RNA is filed under the name uncultured bacterium. RNAcentral describes it as "partial 16S ribosomal RNA". It matches the Rfam family "Bacterial small subunit ribosomal RNA", at positions 29 to 507 of the family's 1533-position model. The record is from RNAcentral.